RNAcentral lists this ribosomal RNA (164 nucleotides) under Camellia chekiangoleosa. RNAcentral's name for it is "5.8S ribosomal RNA". It matches the Rfam family "5.8S ribosomal RNA". Rfam says of the family: 5.8S ribosomal RNA (5.8S rRNA) is a component of the large subunit of the eukaryotic ribosome. It is transcribed by RNA polymerase I as part of the 45S precursor that also contains 18S and 28S rRNA. RNAcentral also lists the same sequence under 3 other names. Lineage: Eukaryota; Viridiplantae; Streptophyta; Magnoliopsida; Ericales; Theaceae. The record is from RNAcentral.
AAACGACUCUCGGCAACGGAUAUCUCGGCUCUCGCAUCGAUGAAGAACGUAGCGAAAUGCGAUACUUGGUGUGAAUUGCAGAAUCCCGCGAACCAUCGAGUCUUUGAACGCAAGUUGCGCCCGAAGCCAUUAGGUUGAGGGCACGCCUGCCUGGGCGUCUCACG